RNAcentral lists this ribosomal RNA (378 nucleotides) under uncultured Gemmatimonadota bacterium. RNAcentral describes it as "bacterial SSU rRNA". It matches the Rfam family "Bacterial small subunit ribosomal RNA", at positions 521 to 896 of the family's 1533-position model. The record is from RNAcentral. Lineage: Bacteria; Pseudomonadati; Gemmatimonadota.
UAAGACGGAGGGCGCAAGCGUUGUUCGGAAUUACUGGGCGUAAAGCGCGGGCAGGUGGUCCGUUAAGUCGUCUGUGAAAAUCCGGGGCUCAACCCCGUGAAAUGCAGGCGAUACUGGCGGACUGGAGAUCGGUAGAGGCUGACGGAAUUCCUGGUGUUGCGGUGGAAUGCGUAGAUAUCAGGAAGAACACCAGUGGCGAAGGCGGUUAGCUGGGCCGAGUCUGACACUCAUCCGCGAAAGCGUGGGGAGCAAACAGGAUUAGAUACCCUGGUAGUCCACGCCGUAAACGAUGGGCACUAGGUGCCGGGCCUCUAGACGGGGUCGGUGCCGUAGUUAACGCAUUAAGUGCCCCGCCUGGGGAGUACGGUCGCAAGGCUG